GGUGUGGGUGGGGUCUGGGGAUCCAAUUGGGGAGGGGCCGGAGAACCGAUUUUGCUCGCCGGAGUCUGCUCGUGUACCCCCGUCAGGUGAUGUCUCCCUUCAUUUCUGGUGUCCCCUGUCCUCCCUCCGCCGUGCGGCCGCGACCGCUCCUUCUCGACGGAGAUGGCGAGGGCGAGCGGGGCGCACCCACCGGGAGACCCUAGAGGCGGCGCCGGGGUUCGUCUACGGGCUUGUCCUCCGUCACCUCAACUCCUCCCGCUCCGGCUCGCCCCGCAAAGUAGAUCACUUCCGCGCGGUGAGUUUCUCUGGCCGCGUUGAACUCGGUAGGUUGCGCAUUUCGUUUUGCUCCCACAGUUGAUUUUUGCUUGCUUUUUCGGGGCGGAUGUGACGAAGCAAAUGCAGCAGAGGCGGGCGUUUCCCCUUCGAUUUCCCUCUGACUGGUCCAUGGCGGAGUAUGCUCCCUCGCAUCCGGGUGCAUUGUUACCUGAUCUGGGAGGUGGGGAUUGCCUCCAAUCUUGCUGCAGCCACAGAGGGAGAUAAGAACAAGGGAGGCAAGGGAGGAAGCGAAACACAUCCUUGCGCCUGCUUGCUGAGAUAUUUACUAUGAGCGGGAAGGGCGGCGGUGGCGACAGCGCGAGUGAGAAUGGCGAGGUGGGUGACUUUGGCAAGUCGCUCCACUUGUCGCCACACGCCGCGCUCGCCGUCGCCAUUGGAAUCGUCAUUUUCUGCGUGGCGGUGGUCAUCAUCGGAUUCUGCUGCGCAGUCGUGAGGAGUUGGCAGUGGGAGAGGAAUCUCGGGGCAAAAGUCCACCACCGAGAUGAUGGAGGACAGCAGGACCAUGCUGGCGACGCAUAAAAAGGUUUUGCAUUUGGAGGCAGUAAACAAGAGGCAGCAACUCCAUAACUUGCGGAAAGCUUGUAAGAUUUCUUAGUGACCCUGUAAAAAUAGAUCAUUGUCAACCAUCGAGGGAACUUUCUGGUGAUUAAUUAGAUCCAUAAGUUUUCAUCUGUUCUUUGUCAUAUUCACCUUAAUAGCUUUGUGUUAUCAACCAGGAAAAGAUCCUGCAGAAAAGGAUGUUAUUAACAGGAAAGUGUCCUAGUAAAAACGAAAAAUUUCUGGGACUACACUUUCUCAUCCACAUUUUAGCUUUUCCCAGAGUUAAUGACACUUUCCCUUUUUAAAUUUCAAA
Molecule: long non-coding RNA, 1189 nt
Organism: Brachypodium distachyon (stiff brome)
Lineage: Eukaryota; Viridiplantae; Streptophyta; Magnoliopsida; Poales; Poaceae
Exons: 4
Source: RefSeq, a predicted model, not a curated record